CCUACGGGCGGCAGCAGUGGGGGAUAUUGCACAAUGGGGGAAACCCUGAUGCAGCGACGCCGCGUGGAGGAUGAAGGUUUUCGGAUUGUUAACUCCUUUUGUUAGAGAAGAUAAUGACGGUAUCUAACGAAUAAGCACCGGCUAACCCCGUGCCAGCAGCCGCGGUAAUACGGAGGGUGCAAGCGUUACUCGGAAUCACUGGGCGUAAAGAGCGCGUAGGCGGGAUAGCAAGUCAGAUGUGAAAUCCUAUGGCUUAACCAUAGAACUGCAUUUGAAACUGGUAUUCUAGAGUAUGGGGGAGGUAGGUGGAAUUCUUGGUGUAGGGGUAAAAUCCGUAGAGAUCAAGAGGAAUACUCAUUGCGAAGGCGACCUGCUAGAGCAUAACUGACGCUGAUGCGCGAAGGCGUGGGGAGCAAACAGGAUUAGAUACCCCAGUAGUC
This 440-nucleotide ribosomal RNA is filed under the name uncultured bacterium. RNAcentral's name for it is "partial 16S ribosomal RNA". It matches the Rfam family "Bacterial small subunit ribosomal RNA", at positions 338 to 795 of the family's 1533-position model. The record is from RNAcentral.